Non-coding RNA from Erythranthe guttata (spotted monkey flower), 454 nucleotides. Lineage: Eukaryota; Viridiplantae; Streptophyta; Magnoliopsida; Lamiales; Phrymaceae. The record is from RefSeq and is a predicted model, not a curated record.
UAAUACCCCUGAUAACCUUACAAGCAGAACCGACUCUUGGAGUAGACGUAUGAGGGAAAAGUACGGGCUCGAUACAUCGGAAUACACAUACAACCCGUCUGAGUCGAACAGGUACCAGCAAUCUACAACACAACCAUCCGAGGAAAGAAGUCGUGGCUGCACCAUUAUGUAAUGUGACGGCCUGUUUGAUUUCAUGUUGCACCGAAAGUGAAAUCUCUGUUUUUGAAUCGGACUGUAAUUAUGCUGUGCCGGGUAUUUGUAUCUUAUCUGAGUAAUAAUAACACCGUUUGGAAUUGGGAGUGACACGUUGUUUUGUCGUAUCUUCUUAGUUUAAAGUCGUGAUAGUCGUGUUUCUAAGCUAUUAUUGUGUUCUCUCAGAUGCUGUUCGGUGCCUCUUAUACGAUUAUUAGCAGAUGGAUGUAUGUUACUAUGAUUUGUAGUUUGCUUCGAUAAG